RNAcentral lists this ribosomal RNA (253 nucleotides) under uncultured bacterium. RNAcentral's name for it is "partial 16S ribosomal RNA". It matches the Rfam family "Bacterial small subunit ribosomal RNA", at positions 524 to 776 of the family's 1533-position model. The record is from RNAcentral.
GACGGAGGAUGCAAGCGUUAUCCGGAAUGAUUGGGCGUAAAGCGUCCGCAGGUGGCAGUUCAAGUCUGCUGUCAAAGACCGGGGCUUAACUUCGGAAAGGCAGUGGAAACUGAACAGCUAGAGUAUGGUAGGGGCAGAGGGAAUUCCUGGUGUAGCGGUGAAAUGCGUAGAUAUCAGGAAGAACAUCGGUGGCGAAGGCGCUCUGCUGGACCAUAACUGACAUUCAGGGACGAAAGCUAGGGGAGCGAAUGGG